AAGAAGGCUUUGGCCCAUCCAUCUCAAAUUUGUUUUCUAGUAGAGAAUUCAAACAUGGUGAUUCCAAUUUUGAACAAGUAAUUAACAUGAAAGCAAAGCCCAAACACCAAAUUGCAAAAUCCAAAAGCAAGUAUCAAAUACAAAAAAACAAUGCAAUUUGAAGAGAAUCUCAAUGUUGAAAUACAAAUAUGCACGGAAAUGGUGCAAAACGCAAUGAGAAACGCGACCAGCUGCAAAUCCAAAACUUUCAUAACAAACUUCAAUCACAAGUCCUAAACUACCCCUAUUGAUUAACUCUAUAAAGCAAUCUGAAAUGGCAUCGCAAGAGGGGGGGUUUUUACACCAACCAUUCUCACCUGCACGCGAAGAAUUCCUGCGCUCCCAUCUUCAUCAUCUUCAACUUGCUUCAAACUGGAGCUUUGAAAGUUCUUCUUGGUUCAUUCAUCACUACAACACAGAAUAAACAAUAACAAAGUCAGAACGACUAUCACGAAUCAAUGCUCACUGCACCACCGCAAUCCGUGUAAAUCAUUCAAAAGCUGAGUCAGAAACACACAGCAGCAUCAAAUUAGGAGUUAACUAGCCCAAGCAGACAACGACGAACUCAAGAACAAUGCCAAGCAUAAGCGAGAAUUGAAAGCAAUAUCGCGAAGAAGAGAGGAGGAGCGAAACGAAUACCUGGAAAUCGUCUCACGUUGAACUUCUAAGAGGUACACGCUAACGCAAUUUUAUGCUUAAUCUUGAUGAAAUACAACGACUUAAGGAUUCGAUUGAUGCUCGCCAUAGCUCGCCGCGAAGCUUGGAGAUCCGUUCGAUUGUUGUCGAUCCAAAUCCGUGCUUACUCGUGAGGUUUAGUCAUCGAAUCGAGUGUGUGUGGAUAAUUUUUAUGUGAUUAUGUUAGUGUUGAUUUUGGAAUCGAAGUAGGUGACGUGAUUUCGCGUUUUGUGUUCUGGUUAAGGAGAGAGACACCGACGAGAAUGGCUGGUCAUUUGCAUCCUUUUUACUGCGUGUGGUGUUUUGAUAACAUUGAGGAAUCAUAGAUCAGCGCCUCGUUUGGCCCAAGGGAGGUUCAAUCCCUCCGUUUUUUUAUUAUUAUUCUUGUUCCAGCUUGGGCUUCUAGGCCCAUUUGUGUGCUCUUGGCACCCUCCAACGAUUCAACACUCCACUGGCUGAG
RNAcentral lists this long non-coding RNA (1174 nucleotides) under Lathyrus oleraceus (garden pea). RNAcentral's name for it is "Pisum sativum (pea) long non-coding RNA (PSAT_LNC019239)". The record is from RNAcentral. Lineage: Eukaryota; Viridiplantae; Streptophyta; Magnoliopsida; Fabales; Fabaceae.